Brassica napus (rape) is the source of this 419-nucleotide long non-coding RNA. RefSeq lists it as uncharacterized. The record is from RefSeq and is a predicted model, not a curated record. The transcript is spliced from 3 exons. NCBI's taxonomy places the organism in Eukaryota, Viridiplantae, Streptophyta, Magnoliopsida, Brassicales, Brassicaceae.
UGUAAAGACUAUGCAGAAGCUAUAAAAGGAAUCAAGACCAGCAAGAAAGCAGAAGCUGUGGCUGUGUAAUGUUGAAGCAACAAGCUAAAAAAAUACUCUGUUAUAAUCUUUGGAUAAACUAAAAGGGUCCAGAUGUUGAUGUUUUUGCCAUUCAACAGAGGUACUCUACAGUUUCAAAAUAGUUCAUAUAUACUUGUGUACCAUUGUCUUGUAGAUUGGGGAUCUGCAGAUUCCAUACAUUGUGCAAUGAAACACUGUAACAGUUAAUAAAUUGGUGCAUUAUGUAUUUUUGUUUUUGGGAAAAUAAAGCAUGGUCACUUGUACACAUAACUCUGAUCACUUAGCUUGCUCUUCUGUAAGAACAUGAUCAUAAACAUCUCAUAUAUAUUAAUUGUGAAAUAUUACAACUUCUUUUUGUA